UACGUAGGGUGCAAGCGUUAUCCGGAAUUACUGGGCGUAAAGCGUGUGUAGGUGGUUUGUUAAGUUAAAUGUUAAAUCUUCAGGCUCAACUUGAAGGCUGCAUUUAAUACUGGCAGACUUGAGGACGGUAGAGGUAAGUAGAAUUAGUGGUGUAGCGGUAAUAUGCGUAGAUAUCACUAGGAAUACCAAUGGCGAAGGCAGCUUACUGGUCCGUACCUGACACUGAGACACGAAAGCGUGGGGAGCGAACGGG
RNAcentral lists this ribosomal RNA (253 nucleotides) under uncultured bacterium. RNAcentral's name for it is "partial 16S ribosomal RNA". It matches the Rfam family "Bacterial small subunit ribosomal RNA", at positions 524 to 776 of the family's 1533-position model. The record is from RNAcentral.